GUUUUGGUCCUAAACUUGCCCUUGUUUUUUACCAAGAUUAUACAUGCAAGCCUCCACACACCAGUGAGAAUGCCCACACACCCCUAAACAGCAAACCGGAGCAGGCAUCAGGAUACAACACAUUCAGCCUAAGACGCCUUGCACAUGCCACACCCCCACGGGCUUUCAGCAGUAAUUAACAUUAAGGUAUGAGCGCAAGCUCGACUUAGUUAUGGUAUAUGUGGUCGGUAAAUUUCGUGCCAGCCACCGCGGUUAUACGAAAGACCAAAAACAACGGCCCACGGCGUAAAGCGUGACUAGAGAACUAGAACAACUUAGGGGAAAACGGCCGCCAAGCAGUAAAACACCCAUGCACACCAGAAUCACAACAUCAGCCUCUAACAACACUUUACCUCACGAAAGCUAAGGAACAAACUGGGAUUAGAUACCCCACUAUGCUUAGCCAUAAACAUAAACAGUAAAAACACAACACUGUUCGCCAGAGAACUACAAACGAAAAGCUUAAAACUCCAAGGACUUGGCGGUGCUUCAAAUCAACCUAGAGGAGCCUGUCCUAUAAUCGAUACCCCACGUUCAACCUUACCCCUCCUAGCCAAACAGCCUAUAUACCGCCGUCGUCAGCCUACCUUAUGAAAGAAAUAAAGUAAGCAAAAAAGUUAACAACUAGCACGUCAGGUCAAGGUGUAGCACACGGAGGGGCAGAGAUGGGCUACAUUUUCACAAAGCGAAAACACAAAUGGUAGACUGAAACACACACCUGAAGGCGGAUUUAGCAGUAAAAUAACUAAGAAUAGUUACUUUAAACCUGCUCUGAAGCACGCACACACCGCCCGUCACCCUCAUCACAUGU
RNAcentral lists this non-coding RNA (850 nucleotides) under Ctenotus rawlinsoni. Its description in RNAcentral is "partial 12S ribosomal RNA". It matches the Rfam family "Bacterial small subunit ribosomal RNA". Lineage: Eukaryota; Metazoa; Chordata; Lepidosauria; Squamata; Scincidae. The record is from RNAcentral.